Molecule: ribosomal RNA, 436 nt
Filed under: uncultured bacterium
Lineage: Bacteria
Description: partial 16S ribosomal RNA
Rfam family: Bacterial small subunit ribosomal RNA
Source: RNAcentral
ACAAUGGGGGGAACCCUGAUGCAGCAACGCCGCGUGGACGAUGAAGGCCUUAGGGUUGUAAAGUCCUGUCAGCAGGAAAGAAAUGUGCAUAAGUUAAUACCUUAUGCAUUUGACGGUACCUGCAAAGGAAGCACCGGCUAACUCCGUGCCAGCAGCCGCGGUAAUACGGAGGGUGCAAGCGUUACUCGGAAUCACUGGGCGUAAAGGACGCGUAGGCGGGUUGGAAAGUCAGGUGUGAAAUCCUACAGCUUAACUGUAGAACUGCACUUGAAACUUCUAAUCUAGAGUAUGGGAGGGGGAGAUGGAAUUAGUGGUGUAGGGGUAAAAGCCGUAGAUAUCACUAGGAAUACCUAAAGCGAAGGCGAUCUCCUGGAACAUUACUGACGCUAAGGCGUGAAAGCGUGGGGAGCAAACAGGAUUAGAUACCCCUGUAGUC